CUUCACCAUACCCUCCGAAUAUGAACCCUGUGAGCUACAAUAAUGGCUGUCUGGCAAGACAUGGGAGUAAUCAAAUGGUUUCUGAUUGGAUCUAAGUCCGGCUUCACAAGAUGAAAUGAAUACAUAACAUCAUUAUUGGGCCAAUAACUUAUGACUAGAUAAGUCAUAGGCUCCAGAAGGAAGAGUCACUACUGGUCCUCAGAAGAUGUAAUUAAAAUCUUUGAAGGAGGGGAAGAGGAAGAAUGAAUAUCCAAAGAGAUGUUUUAUCUACAUAUGUGUCUAUGCACUAUAUGAGUAUCUGCUGUUCAUGGAGUCCAGAAGAGGACAUCAGCUACCCUAGGACUGGAAUUACUCACAGCU
Molecule: long non-coding RNA, 360 nt
Organism: Mesocricetus auratus (golden hamster)
Lineage: Eukaryota; Metazoa; Chordata; Mammalia; Rodentia; Cricetidae
Exons: 3
Source: RefSeq, a predicted model, not a curated record